GCAGCUGACGCCUGACACACACCUGAGAGCUGAAGGGAAGUCAAACCAUUUCGGGGAAAUGACUCUGUGGCACUGACAGGUUUGAUCCGAUGGUAACAAACCAAGAGAACCAACAGAAGCCUGCACCAGUGGUGAAAACGACGUGCACCUAACUUGUUGAACCGCAUAACAAUGGUUAACAGAUCCUCAUGAGCAUCUUUCACCUGCCGAAGCCAAGAGAGGAUCGGUUCCUGUGGAAUUUUGAUGGUCAUCAAAAUGUACAAUGGCCAGAGAAAUACCAAAUCGAUUGCUUGUUUUACAGAGAGAGUUUUGUGAACAUGCUGCUUUAUUUCUUGAUGAAUAUCAUGAAAAUAUAGAGGGAAUGAGAGCUACUGAAAAAGAGCAUUGUGCGAUUGCUGCGGAAGCCAGCAGGCUAAAGAAUGAAACCAAAUGGUCGACUUACAAGGGGAACGGCAUGACAGCAUUUGGAGUUCUACUUGGACUAAGGGCCAAUCCCAAUUCUACCCCUUACCCCUUAGCCCUACCCCUUUGAUAUGCGCGUUCACGAGGCUUAAGGGCUAUCCCAAUUCUCCUUUUUGAAUAGGGGUAGGGGUAAGGGGAAGGGCUAUUUCACCCCUUUCAGCGAAGUCUGCAUCGAUGCUCCCUAUUCUCAAUAGGGGUAGAUGGAGUUUCACAUUGGCCAGAAAAAAAACAACAUGGCGCCCACCAAGGAGUCGCACAAGUGUAAGCUUGCUUUCCGUUUACUAUUUAAAAAGCUAUAAAAAGUGUAUUUUCUUUACUGAAAUGUGUAGAUAUACUAGCGUGACAGUGUCCCAGUCAUGGAUUAACGUUUUAGCGCUGCGUAGCACCGUUUCCGAUCGUAAAUUUGUAACUUCUGAAGAGCACUAAUCACUGUAUUAAAGUCAUAUUUUAUCAUGGUUUUAACGUCAUAUGUUUGACACAGGGACCCCCGAUGAAACCCGACUUCUAAUUCAAUUCAGAGGUGAAAAUGAAGAGAAGUUCUUGAAAUCCAAAUACAGCGCCAAAACACAGUGGGAGUAAGUUAUAUUAUUCGUCUAAGCUAUAAUAUGUUAGCAAUAAAACCUGUUUAUAUAAACAUAUAUGUAUUACUUUGGGACAUUCUUGAAAGACAAUGGCUUGGAAGGGGAAGUUACAGCCCAGCAAGCUUCCAAAAAGUGGGAGAACCUGAAAAAGAAAUACAAGGACCUGAAACUUGUAAAGUCUGGCUCCGGCACAGAGGAGGGGGAAACCACUGCUGCCAAUUGGCCCUAUUUUGAAGAGAUGCACAGGGUGCUGGGAUCCAGACCUUCGGUGGACCCCCCUGUAGUUGUUGCAUCUUAUUCACAGGAUCCAACAGCCUUAUUGAUGGAAAUGGUGGAGCCUAGCACAUCUGGGGCAUCCUCUUCAGCUUCACUUCUAUCUUCCACUCCUGCCAGUGCUGCCACUCCAUCCUCCACCAUCACACAGCCGACGCCUCCCCCAGAAUCACCCUCCCCACGAAAAAAGAAAAGGAAGUCUCACCAUCUGCUGGAAUUUCUGAAAGAGGAAUCAGCCAAGGAGCAGAGAAGACAUGAGGAGAGUGAGAGGAAGACAGACAGGCUCCUUGAACUUUUUGAAAAAAUGGUGGACAAAAUGUAGCCAAGUUGGAUGUUAAUUUUUAGGCCUUAUCUUUUUUUUUUUUUUAAUAAGUUUCUAUAAGUUCAGGGUAAUUGUGUUCAUGUUUACAAUUGUAUGGUAAUUUGCACUGUUCAAAUUUGCACAUUUUUUUGUUUUUGUAUAAGCCAAAGUACUUGAAAAGUUACGUGUGUU
Salarias fasciatus (jewelled blenny) is the source of this 1809-nucleotide long non-coding RNA. RefSeq lists it as uncharacterized. The record is from RefSeq and is a predicted model, not a curated record. The transcript has 5 exons. Lineage: Eukaryota; Metazoa; Chordata; Actinopteri; Blenniiformes; Blenniidae.